This 249-nucleotide unclassified non-coding RNA is filed under the name fungal sp. Its description in RNAcentral is "partial internal transcribed spacer region". The stretch from base 1 to 46 matches the Rfam family "Eukaryotic small subunit ribosomal RNA", at positions 1786 to 1831 of the family's 1831-position model. Lineage: Eukaryota; Fungi. The record is from RNAcentral.
AAGUCGUAACAAGGUUACCGUAGGUGAACCUGCGGUAGGAUCAUUUCCAACAAAAACUAUACCAACCCACGUGUGAUCCCAGAUUGUUAUUUACUCUUCAUCGGCGCGUGUGUGUGUGUUUGCGCACCGCACCGCCCGAUGGAGAGGCCUUGUUGAACUACCUUGUCAAAAGGUUGAUUGCUGUCGUUUUUGGCUUACACAAAAUCCAAAAUGAUCAGACAACUUUUAACGGUGGAUCUCUUGGCUCGU